RNAcentral lists this long non-coding RNA (1074 nucleotides) under Panax ginseng (ginseng). Its description in RNAcentral is "long non-coding RNA (PGIN_LNC009960)". Lineage: Eukaryota; Viridiplantae; Streptophyta; Magnoliopsida; Apiales; Araliaceae. The record is from RNAcentral.
UACAUUCCCAUGCAUAAUAAUAAUAAUAAUAAUAAUAAUUAUUAUUAUUAUUAUUAUUAAAAGAAGAAGAUAAAAUGGAAGGUGUUCCUAUCACUUUAAAUUUUAUUGGAAAAAUCACCAAUUUAUUAUCAUCACCCUUCUCCACUUUGUUAUCAUCACCCCUCUCCACCAGCAGGCAGCAGCUCUGUGCUUAGUCUACUUUCUUUUUCUUUAAACAAAUUUCAGGUAUUCAUUCGAAUUUGCCCAAUACUCUCUAUUUUUCCCCAUCUUCUUUCUUAUUUUUCUGUAAAUUUGUAUACAUACUGGGUUGAAUGCGAUGUUUAAGUAAAUUCUUGCAAAUUUUCCUCGUCAAUUUGCUGUCUGAUGCUAAAUUAUGCAAUUGUUUUGACAUCCUGCCUUAAUUUUAAGUAUACAUGAUCCAUUAAGUUUAUAAUUAGGAAACUCACAACAUCCCACCACAAUAGGAGAAUUAAGUUUACUGUCCUGUUUUAGUUAGGUUUUUCAAAAUAAAAAUAAAAAUAAAAAAUUCGCACCUCCCUCCCUUUCAUUGUUCCCUAUACAAAGGAGGAUACGGAGAUAAUAGUAACUGAACUCACUUGAUUGUUGACAUCUUUAAUGUUUGCCGAUAUGGCAUAUUGAAUGCCAUCAAGAUUUCCUUUUUGUUUUACUUAAAUGUUAAUAUUUUCAUGAUCUUCUUCUUGACAUUAAUACUCCUACCACACAAGUUUUUAGAUAAAAGUAGUCCUUAGCACUGAACUAUCUAGCUAUCCCUCUAUUUGUUGUUUGUGUAUUUAUAAUUUCCCUCCCUUUCGUUUAAGGAGCGAAUUCUAGAAGCUAGUUUAACAAAGUGAUCAAGGGGAAAUCUUAAAGCUCAAACUAUCACUAUUUAAGAAUAGUGGUAUGGAGGUUGUCCGGCAAUUUACUAGACACAUGUAAUGUUAUCACAUACAAGCAAAAGAUUGCGAUAGAAUGGCCACCACUGCUGUUAUUGGACUUAGUGCAGGAAAUAGGCUUUUGAGUUCCUCCUAUUACUCUGAUCUUACAGAGAAGCUGUCUAGUAGCUGUGAUUUUGGN